This 1307-nucleotide unclassified non-coding RNA is filed under the name Hevea brasiliensis (rubber tree). The record is from RNAcentral. Lineage: Eukaryota; Viridiplantae; Streptophyta; Magnoliopsida; Malpighiales; Euphorbiaceae.
ACAAUUAAAAAAAAAAAAAGAAAAGUCUCAACAGGAAAUCUGCCCUAUCCUCUCUCUACGAAAAAGUUCCCGCCCUAAUCCUGAACAAAAACUAACCCCUUUGCCAUUCAGAAUUGAUGGAAUAUAUUGAAUGAAGAAAUGGAAUAUAUUGAAUAUAUUGAACCAGGCAGCAACUUCAAAAGAAAAAUGAAGAAAUGCGAAAACAGUAAGCAAGCUUAAUUUUCUCCUCGCCAAUGUUAGCCGAACGCCAUAAAACCUUAACUGAGAUUACUCGUUUUUCAAAUUAAAGCAUUGCUUUAAGGUAAAUUUUCUCUUCUAGGUCCAUUUGACUGUGUGGUGCCCAUCAAAGCCUAGGAGCUAAAUCGCAGCUCCUCAAGGACUCCUAAUGAAGACUAAUAAGGAAAAUUGGCUUGUGUACAGGAAGAGCACCAGACAUCCAAAUGCUUGUAGCAUUUAAACAAAGAAUAAUGGCAAGCACAAGCAAAUCAAGGGAAAUGAGGAAAUAGUCAGAUAGAACAUAAUCAUUUAGAAAAUUAAAUCAAAAGGGGUCAGAAAUCAGAAUGCACUUAAAAACUAUAAAUGAUCUAAACACCGUAAACAUUUAUAACAAAAACAAUGACAGAUAAAAAAAAAAGUAAAAAAGAUCUCUAAUAUGUAAAAUUCAAAUCUGAUUUCAAAUAGCUUUGCCCCCAUUUUAUUAAAAAAGGGAAGAUGAUACUUUAGCGUAAUUAUGUAAAACCCACAAAACCACAUCUUUGAAACAAAUCUACAACCACCAUUGCAUACAUACAACGGAAAGAAGAUUGAUCAGAUAGAGCUAAUAUGUUUGCCAUCAUUGCGGCGAUCAAACCAAUAGGGAAACAUAUUAUAAUCAUCAUUUCACCCUCAAUAAUUAAAAACCAAAGAUAACUAACAUAUAGUUCAGAACUCUCAAAUCUAAGUCAAAAGUUUAAGCAGUCAAGGGAUCAAGUCAUAAAACAAGAGAAUGAUCAGAUAGAGCUAAUACAUUGGAAGAUGCCAUCAUCACGGCUAUCAAACCAAUAGGGAAACAAACAUAAAUCAUCAUCUCAUUCUCACAAAAUCUUGACAAAUCAAUGACAUGACAUGAUUUAGGGUUUAAAACAAAGUUAGUAUAAUGUGAAAUGGAAUGAUCAGAUAGAGCUAAUACAUUGGAAGAUGCCAUCAUCACGGCUAUCAAACCAAUAGGGAAACAAACAUAAAUCAUCAUCUCAUUCUCACAAAAUCUUGACAAAUCAAUGACAUGACAUGAUUUAGGGUUUAAAACAAAGUUAGUAUAAUGUGAAAUG